RNAcentral lists this long non-coding RNA (773 nucleotides) under Sorghum bicolor (sorghum). RNAcentral's name for it is "long non-coding RNA (SBIC_LNC007959)". Lineage: Eukaryota; Viridiplantae; Streptophyta; Magnoliopsida; Poales; Poaceae. The record is from RNAcentral.
AAGCCUUUCGCGCUAUAGCCUUUGCAUAUUUCAGUUUCAGAGUCCGUAGUGUUGAGUUUGUGUCCUGGUCGAGGUCUUGUUGCUUGUUAGGUCGUGUUAGAGUCUAGUUCAUGUGUUUUUCCCCACCAUUUCCAUCAAUUUAUAGCGACCGCCCCAAAUUUUUCCCACUUCUCGACCGUUUUGUCCUCUAAUUCGGAGUCGAUUCUUCAAUAAGGCAUAAUUUUCACAUACGAACUCUGAUUUUGACGUUCCAUAUAUCAAAAUCGAUCAAAAAAAUUUGGAUCCAUCUAUCCCUAUAAACAAGUUUCGCAAACUAAGUUUUCUCAAUUUCGCCCCUAAAGUUUGAGUUUUCACCUUCCGAAUUUUUUUCACAUCUUUUGCAAUCUUCAGAAAAUUCCAUAGGCCACGUCUUUUAAUUGUUUAAGCUCAAAUUUUCUAUGGUUAAUUCUUUAGUGCUUCUAAGUAAAAUAAAAAUAUCAAAAAAAUAAAAGUCGAAAUUUCGCAAAAAAACAACGACAACACAAAAAAAGAGAGAAAAGAGAGGGACAAUAUAGGAACAAUAUCUAGAGCAAAGUGAGUUGUGUUAGCGUGUGCUGUUUUGUGCCUUGUUUCUCUUGCUCUUGCUAUCCAUCAUACUUGUUUCUCCACCUUGUUGAUCAUCAUACACCUGUUACUUGGAAUAUAUAAACAAGCGCUAGGGACUAUAAUUAAGUACUACCAUCUUUUUCUGAUUUGUGUUCUAUAUAUAUAUUUGUCUAUUUGUGUGCCUUCCA